Talpa occidentalis (Iberian mole) is the source of this 9196-nucleotide long non-coding RNA. RefSeq lists it as uncharacterized. The record is from RefSeq and is a predicted model, not a curated record. Lineage: Eukaryota; Metazoa; Chordata; Mammalia; Eulipotyphla; Talpidae. The transcript has 3 exons.
AGGGAUAAGAGAAGGUGAUGGGCAAAUUCAGACCAGUCCCACACAGCCCCAGGCACCUUCUGCUUCUACUCGGGCCUCUUGUCCAUGUGGCAGUUCUCCACUAUCACAGGUCAAAAAGGACACGCAUGCACUUGGAACAUUGGUGGAACCAAGAAAUGACAUUUCAGCCGUGCACCGGACAGCAUGAAGGAAGAGCCAAGAGGGAAGCUGCGGUAAGGAACCCCUGCACUGCAGAGCUUGGGGUGCAGGGGCUGUGAAUGGCCGAUGGGCCCAGCCUGGCCGAAUUUCAAAGCAACAGCAGUGUGUUGUGGCAGUGCCGGGGUGUGGCUGUCUGGGGAACUGAGAGCAGGUUGGUUUUGUUCCUGGUGCAUUUGUUGUAGCUCUCCCUGGGGCGAGUCCGCUGGCAGCCGAGGAAGUAGGGUGUCACCUGCUUAUCUGAUGAGCAAGUCCUCCAGUCGCCUGGGCCCUCACUGAGAAGGAGGUGGAGGCAGACUGGACUGAACACAUAGUGGCCCUCGGACAUUUCUUGGAAGUUGCUUUUUAAAAUAACCUCCGACAUAAGCUUGUUUUCAUUUGCCUCUUUACCCAAGAAGCCAAAUUCAAAAAUAGAUCUCAGUUAUUCUGGGUCCUCAUUAAUCAAGGUGAUGCUGUGAGGCUGGAAAAGGCAGGCUCUGUUAGCUGUUUCUACCCUUUAUUUACAGUUAUUUUAACAGCUUUCAAAGCCAUGGUUCUUUGCUAUAAAGAAAUAGGUUUCCUAGAUUAUGCUGCAGUGUUUAACUUCCAUGCCUGAUGGCCUGAGGUCCAUAAAUGUGCUGUUCUCUGGAAAUCUGGUGCCUCUACUUUGGAGUUGCCCCUACAGCCAUCAAGGCUCAGCUGCUCUGCCCCCCACUAGGAGAGCAGGCUGGGGAGAGCCGGAAGGCCCUGGGGCCUCCUCUCUGAGGGCCUCUCCCAGGCUCCAGGUGAGGUCUGAACCACCCCAGGAAGCCUUGGUUCUCCCAGUCUUCACAGGAUAAAAAUAUUCCUGAUGGGGACUCGCCCUCUUUAUACAAACAAAUCAGUGAAGCCCCAGCAACUCUGGGCUUUAAGUUGGCAUCUUCACCCAGGAGACCUGGCCACCCACCCAGGCCCUUGUCCGACCUCCAGGGAGCCCUGAGCCUGAAAGUGCUGCGGUGGCCAGCGCUCUUCCCGGUGACCUCAGAAACCAAGGGCGGGCCCGGGAGAGGGUGCCAUUUAGGAAUCAGCGUGUGGGCUUGCCCACCCCAUGCCUUCUUUUCGACUCUCCUUCCUGCCCAGACCUAUUCAGUGUGCUUUUCUAAGAAAGACCUAGAACACAGGUCUGGCUUCAGCACAAAAGAGGCCUGAACUACAGCGCCUCCACAUUUUAGCCUCGGGCAGAUUACCAAGUCUCUGUCUCCGCCUCCUCCACCAUAAAAUGGGGCUGCGAACAUCCGCCUUGCAGGGAUGUUUUGAGAAUCAAGCCUGGGGGAUGUUAGAAAUUCCCUGGCACUUAGAAGGGACUCGUUCAAAAGUGGAGUUUAUUUACAGGGAAGCUCUGCGUCCUUUCCCAGCCCAGCCCCGCCUGUUUGGCCCCUGCGGACCCCUCAUUUACCCGUGAGUGUCCCGGGAAUGCUGCAGCAUCUUCUUUGAACUUGGUAGUAUCUAAAUUUGGACUCGUAGCUUUAACAUUAGCUGCUUGGCUAAGCCAUGGUGUUUAUUUUUCCUUAAGCCCUUUCGGAGAUUUCUCUCAUCACAGAAAGGUCUGCCUCAGUGUCUCCUGGGAUGGCAUGAACAGCCCCACCUCCUCCUCCCUGACCCACGCUCUGGAAAUGAGACUGUUUCCUCCUGUCCCAUCCUAGGUGGGGGAGUUCAAAAUGAUUCCCCUCUCACCAUUAUGAUGGUGAGUUUGGGCUCCAGGGAGGAAGAGUGGGGUCCAUGAGACAGGAAGAGGAAUGCUAGGCUGCCGGAAGCGGGAUUUACUGCCUCAUCGCCAGGGCAAUGCUGUUCAUCCCUGGGUGUGUGUUUAAGCUACAUUAGAGGACCACAUGUAUUUCCCAUCCCCCUCCCGCAAUCUAACAGCCACACAGAUACUGUCAUGACCCCAGAGUAUUUUUAGCUCCGUUUGGGCCCCUCUGCCUGGGCCUGCUGAGCUGUGUGAGGGAGGUUCUCAGAAGGGCAUCUUCCGCAAGCGGGGGACCUGACCUUGUGAACCUCAGGGGCUUUGGACAGUAAGGAGAGAAGUGAAACUGACAUCUACCUUUCAAAAACAAAACCCAGGGUACCUGUUCCUCGAGAGCCAUUGUCUGUAGAUGUUUCGGUUCCGCUCGGCUCCGAUGCUCAUCUGGAUCACCUGAGCUUGAAUUUUGGCAGAUCUGAGAGCCAUGCCUUUGCAGGAGGAGGUGGCAUCCUUAUCUCUCUCCCUCAUCUCCUUCCCAAACUGCUCUUUGCUCCAUCACAGACAGAACCUGGAGCUAAUAUUUGCUCGAAGGCAUUUCUGAUCUCUAUUCCUGAAGACUCUAUUUUCAAACCAUUUCUGUUCUUCCACAGCUAUCUUAGAAAGUCAUCUCCAUCUGCAGCCUGUAGAGGCCAGCAGGCGAGUCCUAUUGUUUGUGGCUUGUCCUUUUCCACAUGAAGGUGCUUUAGGACAUAUCACAGGUGACGGCCAUGGGCACCAGUGGACGGUGCUGGAAUCUGGUACCCACCAUGGCACACACAUGACCGCCAAGCCCACCUUCAAUCUGAGACAGGCUGUUCUAGCUUCAUCACCUCUAUUUUACCUUGCAUCAUUUCAGCAGCAAACCCUUCGCAGAAGACUGGAGGGAACUGGAAAACAGGUAAGAUUAUGUGGCAGGUGUGAUGGCCAAACCAAGCAGUGGAAGCUGACUGGGACAGAUUUUUCGUAAGUGCUUUCCCAUCUCACAUACUUUUCCUUGGAUUCAGAGGUGGAAUCUGUCCCUUCCCCAGAACCAAGUGUUAAUGGCAGCAGUGAUGCACUAGGACUUGGCAAGGUCAGUCUGAAAGACUACCCACUUCCAGCUGACUGUCUGGGCACCCCCGCCUUUGGGAGCCAGCCAUCAUCCUCAUAUGCGAGGAGGCUCAAGCCACAUGGACACACCGAGGCCAGCUGAGCUCACAGGAGCAGACCCCUGCCGCCUCCACCCCCCAACUGCAUUACAGAGUCAUAAGCUGAAUAGAUUGUCAGAGUUUUAAGCUGUCAGGAUUUGGGUCUUUCGUCACACAGCACCCUUUCCCCUUCUGUGGGGUGUGCCCAGCUCCUCCUCACCUUCCCUUCCCCCAUCAGUGUUACCUCCCAGACCUUCAUGAUGCCUCCUGGAAGCUCUGCUGAACAGAACAGGGGACCCGGAACGACUUUAAAUUCAGUGUGUACUCAUCUCUGAGUUUUCCUGGGUGGAAUCCUGGCUGUGCCUGGUGUCAGAUUACAAGGAAGCUUCAGCUCUUCCGGGUAGGCCCCCCUUAAUUCUAUUUGUUUUUUGUACUGUUUUUCUUACCAGACCACCAAAACUGUGUAAGCUGCCUUCAAAAUGUAGGCACUGCCCCUGUUCUUGCCUCUUUCCACAUGGGAAACCAGCUUCUCCCUGCAGGCCAGCUAGGGCAUUUGAUAAUGGUGGCAGGAGGGAUUCAUCAAUCAAAUGUAGGUGCACGUAAAAGAGCAGUGAUGGGAAGUGUGAUUUGACAAACUGAAAGGAACACGGUCAUAUCCACAUCAGGGCUGGGUAUUUUAACAUAGACAGGUCUCCCCAGGUUCUGAAGGUAGAAUGUCCUGAUUCAGAGGUUGUGUUUUAGGUCUGGGAGCACUAUUAGCAUUCAUUUAUUGAAAAAAAAAUGUUUGAAUGUUCCCAAACCCAAAACAUAACCUACCAAAUCGGAACUUCCUAUUUUGGAAAACCUGAUAUCAGUUUUUCGCUCAGCAACUGCUGUAAAUACUCUUCUCACUCCUCUCUCUCUCUCUCUCUCUCUCUCUCUCUCUCUCUCUCCUCCUCCCGCCCCUCCCCCACCUUGACCUAGUUGCUAUUAACAUUGCAAGUCACCUUUGGCAGAAGUUGUCCCACGAAGGAAACCCUGCUGCAAUUUCCAGUAGGUAGCCUGGCAGCACCUUCAAACCUGCAACUUAGACACCCGCCUUUCCUGCGACAUUCAACUAAAGAAAUGGCAGGCCUCAGUGAGCUAGUUCCAGUGAUGACACUGGCAACUGGCAAGGUGAGAGAGGAUUUACACUGGGGAUCCGCAGGUACUGUGCUCAAGGCUGCUGGCAUUUGCCAGCUCACAGGCGAGGGCUUUACAUAGACAGCAGGAACCUGUUCUGCCCCAUCUGCAUGGCACCCCCUCCCCCACAACAGCCUGGAAGGCAAGGAGUACAGUACAUCACCUCCACUUGGGGCUGGAGUGUCCCCCUGCCCUCCUCAGGCCCUUCUGGUAUCACACUGAAUGACGCUCACUGGGGACAGGGGAGGGUGACCCCAUUAGAGUACCAUGGGUGGAAAAGAGGAACCACUCUCUGCUCAGAUCCAAAGAGGUCCAGGCCUCCUGAGCAGGACAGGAGUUGGGAGAGGUGCAGCUCCUGUCUGUGGGUGUGUAAAGGUGGUGACAUCAACGGAGUAACAGGUCAGGUCAGGUGAACCCCAGUCCUCACCUCCCUUCCCCCUGCCAGGGAAGUAGAGCUGCUUACUGCGCUUCCUUUGGCCCCAGGGAGCAGGCUUGGGGCUCAGAGCUAGCACGCCUUAACAAUCCCCUCACGGGGCCUCCUUAGUGCCCCUGCAGAUGAGACCUGGCGCAGGCCCCACUCCCACCAGGCGGGCUGGCUCCUCUCCGUACAAGUUCAGUCCAUGUACAAGAGCCGCGCAGGGAGGCAGCCCUCUAGUGGAAUGCCUGGACCUCUCGUGCAGAGGACCUCAAAGCGGGGUCACCAGACUGGCAGCAUCACCAGGAGCCUGUUAAAAUGCAAACUCUUCACCAGCCCCAGCGGUGCCAAAGGAGAAAUCCCUCCCAGUUAGUCCAGUUGAACCAGCAUCAUGACCAAAUGCACCACUCCAGUGCAGACUGCCCACCUCCAAGAGGAGAGAGGGUUCCCAGAGUCUAGACAAUCAGGUUCAUUUACAGCAUUUGGCUGAAAACUUUUGUUUUUAAAAUUAAGCCAAAGCUAUUUGGUUGGGAGGCCUUAUGCCUUUAUUGGAAUGAAAACUUUAAUUCAGUGUUUUCAUUCAACAGUGGGUUUCUUUGAACUCUGAACUCAGCGUUAAGUGUUUGAGUUUGCAGACAGACCUUCCCAUAGAAUAAGACUUUUCCCUGCAGGGGAGCAGGUACAAGAGUCCCAGGACCUCCUUUGUCCUGGGACCUGCUCCAGGCAGUGCCCGCUGCUCCCAGCAGAGGGCAGCAUUGCCACGCUGGUGCAAAGGGAGAGGCUGGGCUGGGUUAAGAAGUGCAUGACUUUCCAAAGGGAGUCUUGUUUAGUCUGGUUCUACCCCCUGAGGGGCCUGCACUUGCUCUGGGGUCAGUGAGCCACAUAACAUGAAAGUUGGGGCGGUGCACUGGGAGGUUACACAAGGGACAGCCACACUAUCAGUCUGCAGAGAUGCAGGGAUACCCCUUUACAGUGCAAGGCCUAACAUGAACAGAACAGUAAGCGCUCAGGCAGUGUCGCGGCUUAGGCAGCUGCACGCCAGCUCGAGCUAACUUAGAGCCUAAGUUGAGCUCAGGUCCUUUUGCUUAAGCUGGGCCCCCUCACUGCUUAGAGCCCAAGCACUUACAAACACACAUGACCGUCUCCCUCUGCUUCCCAGGAGCAGCAGGCGGGUCAGUGGCCACUGUGGCGCUCAAGGCCUGCAGCAGGGCUUCUCCAGAGUGCACUCACCUUGUACCUGUCUACGAGCCUGAAGCCCAGGAUGUGCUGCAGCUUCCGCAGGCAGAUGGGACAGAGGUCCAGGGGCCGCCCCAGGGCCUCAUCCAGGCUGAGUGCCCCCUGCAUGAGACAGCGGAGCCAGCGGCAGUUCCCCAGGCCAAGGAGGUGGCAGAGCUCAUGGCACACAACCUGAGAAAGGAAGGUCACCACCACCCUUGCAGCCAUGACCCGCCACCCAGCCCAUCCCUAGGAUUCCUGAGCAGCCCCGCCAGGAGCCUGAACACCCUGGCCAAGGCCUAUUCCUGGGAAGUGGUCCAAGCACCCCCUCCAGCCCCACCCCUGAAUGCACAAGGUGACAACUGACUUCUCUGUGGGGCAGAAUCUAGGCCCCGCUGGGCCACAAGAGAAAGGUGAGCGGGACCGUGGAUGUCAUAAACAGGUUCAAACCCUAGCCCUGUGGUUUCAUGGCUGUGUGACCUUGGGUAAAGGAUUUAACAUCUCUGAGCCUUGGCUUCCUCACUCUAAGUGAAGGGGCAUCCUCGUGUGCAAACUGGACAGUAACUGGGUGAGCACAGAGGGAUCAACUGCUGACCACUACAUCCUUCUGAUUCUACAUCCUUAGCUUCUCCCCAGGGCCCCCAACCUUCUACCCUCUUCCCAUCCCCACCUUCUCCCACCAUCUGGGCAGCACCCCCUGCGCCCUGGCCUCCAUGCCCACCUUGCAGCACUGGGCCAUCCCCAGGGCGUUGAAGCACAGGGUCCAGCCUCUGUCCUGCAGGGGAUUCUCAGGGCCGCUGGCUGCCACCUCUGUCGGGGCUGGAUCAGAGGCGCUGGGCCCCAUCUGCAGGAACUCCCCCACAAACCGGGCAAAGCUACAGAUGCCCACUUCUGGGGAGAGGCAGAGGGAAGAGGGCUCAGGGGGCAGCCCCUGCUUCAGGGAGCCCUAGGGCAGACCACCCCAUCCUCAGAACCCAAAGGAUCUGCCUGCCAGCGUGUCCACGGGAAGACAGCCCUGGGCAGAAGCUAGAGGAAUGCCCCUUGCCCAGAGAAGCUGGAAUAUGGGGCCUGGAGUUCAAGUGUGGCUGUUGAGUAGAGGAGUGGGGGCAUUCUCGGAGUAAGAGCAAGGAGGGUGCGUGUUCAGUCAUGCACAAUGCACCUGUGCUGAGUGCAGCCCUCCCCCCGCUCCACCCCUGCUGAGCGCCGACUGUGUGACGCGGGGCCUGGCUCACCGUGCCCCGGAAGGAACAUGCCGAAGGUGAAGCUCCAGGCCUCGCAAGGGUACAGGUCAGACAGCGUCAGGCCCAGCACACACAGGGCGUCGCCCGGCUUGCUGCUCUUCAGGAAAGACAGGAUGCCAUCUGAGGGGAGAGGGCCAGUGGUCAGAGUGAGGGCAAGAGGGCCCUUCUCCCAGGCCCUCGCAAAGUCCAACAGAGAAAGCUUUAGUCUGAGGCUGAGAACUCAAACCACCGAGCUGCAAAAUGUGGGGCCACAGGCCUGAGUCCCAGCGUCAGGCAGUAUGGAUCAUCCGGGCCAAAAAGUUCUCAGGAUGUCCAUUUCCUGAAUUGCCAAGAAAACUGACCUGAACAAGGCAGGGCCAAGGUGCCUGGCCAGGCCAGGGGAGUUCUGAAAAGACAGCUGGGCUGACAGGGCUGCAGGGAAGUGGCAGCCAGCACCAUCACGUCCUAGCCCAGGACCUGUGCGCCUGCGACUCGUUGAACUCUGCAAGGGGCAAGGGAGCUCCGGAUUAUCCAGUGGACCUGGGGUCUUCCCAAAGUCUUAGGCAGGAAGGCCAGAGAGAGCUGAAGAGGCUCUGCUGCCGACUGGAGGUGGAACAGGGGCCACGAGGCGAGGAAUUCGGGCUCCUCUGGAAGCUGGGUAUGGAAGGAACCAGUCCUGCAGACUCCAGGGAGACUUCUGACCCCAGAGACGCAAGAGGAGCAGAGAAGUUUCAGCCGCUAAGUGACCUUGCAGUGACUUGUUACAGCACAAAGGAAACCGUCUCCAGGAACCUGGCUGCAGGGCCAGGGAGGGAACCCAGGACAAGGCCUCAGGGAUUGAGGAGGGACCCCAAGAGAUGCAGGUGGGGCAGCCAGCGAGGUCCAAGACCAGGGAGGUCUGAGUGGCUGGAGGGAGAGGCAAGCUAAGGGAUUUUCCCAGGGGACAGCUAGAGAAAGGAGUAGCGGAGUGGAGGAGCUGGGGGCACACGGGGGCAGAGCCUUUGAGCGGGGAGCAGCCUGUGGCACAGGCAGGGCUGUGGGAAAGAGGGUUGGGAGCAGGAGAGCGGGUAUGGGGUAGGGCCUAGGGAGACCGGCAUCCCUAAACUGAGGCGCAGAGGUGCAGGCAGUGGGGAGCCGUGGAGGGAAGUGUGGAGCUUCCGCUUUGGUUGCCGGUAGAAAAGAAGAGGAGAAAGUAUUCAUGCUAGACGGGCGUCGAGUUUACCCAGGUGUGGACAGGAGGGGGAGGCGGGCGAGACCGCAGUAAAGCAGUGUGACAGCAAGGCCGGGGAGCUGGGCGGGCAGCGGGACCAAAGACCCCGAGGGCAGAGCAGGAAACAGGUGGUAUCUAGGGGGAGGUCUGAAAGCCGCUGUGGCGCGCAGGUGGUGAGGACCGGACCGCCCGAGAGCCUGCAGACAGAACGGGGCCCCGCCCACACCUCCCUCUCGGACCUGUGACCUCCAGGGCUGAAAAAAAUUAAUUUCUGCUUUUUAAGCCCCUCAAGUCUGUGGUACUUUGUUACGACAGCCCAGGAAACCAGUUCAGUAAUCUACACAAGCUCCUCCGACCACAAGAAUUGAACCCCACAUUUGCUGUGGGUUCUACCAGCCUCUAAGAACCUCCCUGAGGCUACCUAGUCCCAGCAUCCCAUGCGCCCCGCGGUGUGGGGCCAAGAGCAGAGCAGGCGCACUAAGCAGAAGAGGAGGUGGAGGAGUGACACAUGUACUCCAGGCACCGCCAAGCUGGGGUCUCCAAGCCACACUCCAGUCCCCAGGCAGCUGGCAUGGACACAAACUCCUCCCAAGUCAGGUGGACAGCACCGCAGGGACACGGGGGAGCAGAGGCAGGUGGAGGGGCUGGGCCCUGGCUCCCCGGGUCCACUCCGGACCCUGGAGAUGGGUGAAGGCUGUGCGCACAGCAGGAUGGUUCUCAGAAUGACCAUGCCUGAAGUCUGGCACCUUCCCUGCCAGUGAGUCCCUGUCAAACCUGAAAAUUCAACACCAGCUGCUCCCUGUACCCUAAAUUCCCUAAACACCAGAAAAUUUAGACCCACCCUGCUGGCCUGUAAGGUCAAGGGACGCUUGUUUAAUCCUUUUACAAAACAAGGAAAUAAAUGUUUUCCACAAA